GACGAACGCUGGCGGCGUGCCUAACACAUGCAAGUCGCACGGGCAGGGGAAACCCUGUCAGUGGCGGACGGGUGAGUAACGCGUAGGUAUCUAUCUCUGGGUGGGGGACAACCGUGGGAAACUACGGCUAAUACCGCAUGACACCUGAGGGUCAAAGGCGCAAGUCGCCUGGAGAGGAGCCUGCGUACGAUUAGCUAGUUGGUGGGGUAAAGGCCUACCAAGGCGACGAUCGUUAGCUGGUCUGAGAGGAUGAUCAGCCACACUGGGACUGAGACACGGCCCAGACUCCUACGGGAGGCAGCAGUGGGGAAUAUUGGACAAUGGGCGCAAGCCUGAUCCAGCAAUGCCGCGUGAGUGAAGAAGGCCUUCGGUUGUAAAGCUCUGUCUGGAGGGACGAAGGAAGUGACGGUACCUCCGGAGGAAGCCACGGCUAACUACGUGCCAGCAGCCGCGGUAAGAUCACGUGUA
This 468-nucleotide ribosomal RNA is filed under the name uncultured bacterium. Its description in RNAcentral is "bacterial SSU rRNA". It matches the Rfam family "Bacterial small subunit ribosomal RNA", at positions 28 to 531 of the family's 1533-position model. The record is from RNAcentral.